GAGUGAACGCUGGCGGUAGCCCUAACCCAUGCAAGUCGAACGGCAGCACAGUAAGAGCUUGCUCUUACGGGUGGCGAGUGGCGGACGGGUGCGGAAUACAUCGGAAUCUACUUUUUCGUGGGGGAUAACGGAGGGAAACUUACGCUAAUACCGCAUACGACCUACGGGUGAAAGCAGGGGAUCUUCGGACCUUGCGCGAUCGAAUGAGCCGAUGUCGGAUUAGCUAGUUGGCGGGGUAAAGGCCCACCAAGGCGACGAUCCGUAGCUGGUCUGAGAGGAUGAUCAGCCACACUGGAACUGAGACACGGUCCAGACUCCUACGGGAGGCAGCAGUGGGGAAUAUUGGACAAUGGGCGCAAGCCUGAUCCAGCCAUACCGCGUGGGUGAAGAAGGCCUUCGGGUUGUAAAGCCCUUUUGUUGGGAAAGAAAAGCAGCAGGUUAAUACCCCGCUGUUCUGACGGUACCCAAAGAAUAAGCACCGGCUAACCUCGUG
This 493-nucleotide ribosomal RNA is filed under the name uncultured bacterium. RNAcentral's name for it is "partial 16S ribosomal RNA". It matches the Rfam family "Bacterial small subunit ribosomal RNA", at positions 27 to 507 of the family's 1533-position model. The record is from RNAcentral.